Molecule: long non-coding RNA, 1137 nt
Filed under: Otus sunia (Oriental scops-owl)
Lineage: Eukaryota; Metazoa; Chordata; Aves; Strigiformes; Strigidae
Description: lncRNA (ENSOSUG00000015058.1)
Source: RNAcentral
UGUUGCUCGCUGAGCAUCGUGCUGCCAAGAAAACGCCGGUGAUGGAUGCUGCCGCCACUCCUUCCCCCUCCCCUCGCCCUUAAAACCGGCAGCACCGUGCCUGCGCCUGGCCCCGCCGCACCGGGGUCCGCACGGGAUGAGAGCCCGCUCGCUCCCGGGGAGCCUUCGGCGGUGGGGUUGGGCUGAGCGGCUCCUCUUCCUCGCCGGGCACGGGGUGGCCCUGGCACCUCGACCUCAUCCUCCCCAGCACGGAGCAGCGGGAGAGCGUGGCACCACACGAGCUCCGUCCCUAGACCCGUGCGGAGGGAGCUGCCGUUGUGCCGUGGGACGUUGAGCCGCCGCGCCGAGAGGAGAGGUGAGAGGCUGGGACCCACCACCGGGUGCCUGGCAUCGGUGGGGCACCUGGUGGGCUGCAAUGAUGGAUUUUCAGUCUGAUUUGCUGAGUGCUCGGGAGAAAAAAUAGAGAAGAGCCAUAAUAUUUUGCAGAUUGGAAGGUCUCAAAGCUGUUAAUGAGCUGUUAAUAAGCAUUGGCCUAGUUUUUCCCCUGGAAGUAGGCGGAUAAUAGACAUUUUUUUUUAGGAUGAGGCUACAGCCACAUCCUGGUGGAGACAAGGGACUGAAUCAUGUCCUGUGGCGCAGGGAGCUGAUGUCUCUUGGUCAGGGGGUGGAAACCCAGUGAGGAGCCACGGGAGCAUCUUCCUCCAGGGCCAGCGACGGGGUCCCCACAGGAUCCCCUGUGCCCGUGUGCUCUGUCCCCUCUCUCCAUGGCCCCUUGUGCCUGUGCGUGCUGGGGCGAGGGCAGCGUCCCUCCCAUGGGCUGUGCUCACUGUGAUUAACACCAUGUGUUUGCUCAGCAGAAACACACACAGAAACAUCACAGAAUCACAGAAUUGUCUAGGUUGGAAAGGACCUUGAAGAUCAUCUAGUCCAACCAUUAACCCAGCAUUGGCAGUUCCCAACUACACCAGAUCCCUCAGCUCUAUGUCAACCCUACUCUUAAACACCUCAAGGGAUGGGGACUCCCCCCCUGCCCUGGGCAGCUUAUUCCAAUGCCUAAUAACCCGUUCUGUAAAGAAAUCCUUCCUAAUAUCUAGUUUAAACCUUCCCUGGUGCAACUUGAGGCCGGGACUAACCAGG